AAGGCCUCCUAUCAGGGGAUGGAGUGGCCCUCAUCUCCUAGCCUUCUAAUGCUAGGCUACUGGUAAAACCCACUUAUGCUGGCACACCUAAGGCCUGGGGCUGAGUUCAGUGGAUACAAGAAUGGCAGAUGCCAAGAACCCAUUCACCCAUCUCUGUGUGCCAAACGCCUUCAGAACAUCGCCAAGACUCUCCUUGAGCCCUGUCAGAUGGAGCUGGUCCCAGCUGGCAAUGGGUACCACUGUUCCGAAGACCCUUAAUAUAGAUUGAUUGAUU
This 274-nucleotide long non-coding RNA is filed under the name Rattus norvegicus (Norway rat). RNAcentral describes it as "long non-coding RNA NONRATT017266". Lineage: Eukaryota; Metazoa; Chordata; Mammalia; Rodentia; Muridae. The record is from RNAcentral.